UCAUGCUGACUGAGCCAUGGACCAUACUGACAUCUCAGGACAAUCUUCUUCCUUUGUGUGUUCAGGCAUUAGACCAUCACAUCUCCACACUUUGCAAUGAAACUUAUCUUGUAGAGCUGGGAGGGUUACCUCUGUUGAUGUCCAUUUAUCAACAAUACAAAAACAACAGCAGUGUUUGCAAAAUGAUCUGCAGAAUUUUGGCAAGAAUCUGUUCACAUCAAGAAUUUCUCCCUCAGGUUUUUUCAUCCGGAUGGAUAGGAGUCCUGGCUAUGUGGCUGGAGAGUGAGGAUCAACC
Homalodisca vitripennis (glassy-winged sharpshooter) is the source of this 295-nucleotide long non-coding RNA. RefSeq lists it as uncharacterized. Lineage: Eukaryota; Metazoa; Arthropoda; Insecta; Hemiptera; Cicadellidae. The record is from RefSeq and is a predicted model, not a curated record. The transcript has 3 exons.